CGCUCUCCUGUGGCACAGCGAACGGGUGGGGGGAGCUUUGAGUCUGGGGUGGGGGCAGAAGCACCGAGGGGAUGAUUCUGUACUAGGGAAAAGAGGCUUGCUUUAGAAUCUAUAAAGGAAAACACGGGCCCAAGCCCCCCUUGCUUGAGGGUCGCCUUCCCUUCCAGCACAGCUGGGCUCCCUCCUGCUCGAUUGAAAGCUGUACAACAAAACUGUCUUUUCGGCCCUGGCUCUCUUUUCUCUCCCAGACGGGCUGGCACCUUCCACCCUGGCUGCUGCGGGCCAGGGAUGGGCUGUCCUGUGGACACACACCUCACGGAGCCGUGUUAUCCCACCAGCAACAUUGUUCUUGGGUCCUACAAUGAGGAUUCACAAAUUCCAGUGUGCGCGGGGAGCCAGGAGUAUGUUUACGAGAUUCUGGAAUGUGGACAUGUGUAACUCUGGCUCCGUUAUCGUCACCACUGCACUACUGUCAUUCUAGUGCAUGACUAUGUCAUUCCUCCAAGAAAGGCUCCUUGCAGCCCCCUGACGGGUGGCUGUGCUCACGGGGGGCCCUCCCUUGUGCAGAAAGCUCCAGUUCUAUGAGUGCUCCCCACUUCUAUAGAUGCCCCUUUAGGGCGCUAGGGCCCUUCUCUCCCUCUCCAAACCAUUGCUUCAAGGAGGAGAAAUGUGAGUGCAUUUCAAGCAGCUUGGUGUUUCCCAUAAAUCAAUUUUGAAAGUCAAACUUCAGCAGUAGGGGCCACAGCUGCACACAGCUGAGCGCGCCCCUGGCCUGGACGGAAGGGGUCGUGUGCCCCACAGGAACCGGCGCCUCCCACAAGGACAGGGCACCCUGGCAAGCCCUUCUCCAGCACCCAGGGGAGACUCUUGGCACAGCGCUCUCCCUGGUUUGAGGCCCACCCUCCUGUCUGCCCUGACCGCUCUGGCUUGGCCCAGCGGGACUCCAGUGUGGGCUUUGCUGCCUGGCUUGAAGGCUGUGGGUGUGCCAGCGCUGGGGAGUGGGGAGACGUUCUGGAACCUGGUGGGUGGAGUUACCUUUUAGACCCUGGGGAAGGAGAGGGCAGC
Molecule: long non-coding RNA, 1065 nt
Filed under: Ursus maritimus (polar bear)
Lineage: Eukaryota; Metazoa; Chordata; Mammalia; Carnivora; Ursidae
Description: lncRNA (ENSUMAG00000012051.1)
Source: RNAcentral